CCGAAAGUAACACCUAUUCGCUAGGCUCAAAGUGCCGAAACGAGCUCGAAAAGACUGCAUGGAGUGACUGUCUUAAGCUCUAUGAGUACACCAUUCUUAGGCUUAACAAAACUGUUGAUCCCAACACAAAGUGCAGCCAAGUUGACUCUCAAACAUGGCUCAGCACUGCCCUAACAAACCUCGAAACCUGUCGAGCCGGGUUCGUCGAGCUCGGUGUCUCGGACUAUCUCUUGCCCUUGAUGUCCAACAACGUUUCCAAGCUCAUCAGCAACACUCUAUCACUCAACAAGGUCCCAUACACUGAGCCUAGCUACAAAGAGGGG
RNAcentral lists this long non-coding RNA (323 nucleotides) under Vitis vinifera (wine grape). Its description in RNAcentral is "long non-coding RNA (VVIN_LNC005162)". Lineage: Eukaryota; Viridiplantae; Streptophyta; Magnoliopsida; Vitales; Vitaceae. The record is from RNAcentral.